Molecule: ribosomal RNA, 287 nt
Filed under: uncultured bacterium
Lineage: Bacteria
Description: partial 16S ribosomal RNA
Rfam family: Bacterial small subunit ribosomal RNA
Source: RNAcentral
GGAUUAGAUACCCUGGUAGUCCACGCAGUAAACGAUGAUUACUCGAUAUUGGCGAUAUACGGUCAGUGUCUAAGCGAAAGUGAUAAGUAAUCCACCUGGGGAGUACGGUCGCAAGAUUGAAACUCAAAGGAAUUGACGGGGGCCCGCACAAGCGGUGGAGCAUGUGGUUUAAUUCGAUGAUACGCGAGGAACCUUACCAGGGCUUAAAUGCAAAUUGACAGAGAUGGAAACAUCUUUUUCUUCGGACAGUAUGCAAGGUGCUGCAUGGCUGUCGUCAGCUCGUGCCG